Long non-coding RNA from Micropterus salmoides (largemouth bass), 2339 nucleotides. RefSeq lists it as uncharacterized. The transcript is spliced from 6 exons. Lineage: Eukaryota; Metazoa; Chordata; Actinopteri; Centrarchiformes; Centrarchidae. The record is from RefSeq and is a predicted model, not a curated record.
GUUGAGUUCAAAUGGAUUUCUUUAUUUCUUACAGCGGUGCUUCAGUUUACAGCAGCAGCUGGAAAACUUCCCCCCUCCUUCACUGUCAGAGUUGGAGAUGACGUCACUUUGCCUUGUGAAAAUGUGAUAGACGAUCAGCAAGAAUGUGAAUAUACUACAUGGCUCUUCAGUGGUUCAGGAAACACAGCAGCAGUAGAGCUGGUUAAACAUGGACAGAUUGUUGAAAACACCAAAUCUAAAUCAGACAGACUGAGUGUUACAGAGAACUGUUCUCUGGUUAUAAAGAAGAUCACAGUCGAGAAUGUUGGUCAUUAUGACUGUCAGCAGUUCAUAACAAAGGGAGGACAACAACAUGGUGAAAACUCUCAGGUUUAUCUGUCUGUUAUUAACAUGACUGAACAUACGGACACUGAUAAGGUGACGUUAAACUGCUCUGUGUCGACAUACGAACACUGUAGUCACACAGUGAAGUGGCUGUAUGAGGGUAAAGAUGUGGACAAAGAUAACCAAGAUCUGAAGACAUCACAGUAUUCCUGCAAUGCCUCUGUGAGCUUUCUGACUUCUCAUUACAUUUACACAUCGAGACAUAACCAAUUUUCAUGUGAAGUGACUGAUGGUGACAAAGUGCAAGUGUUUCCCUUCAGAUUUCUGCCUUCAGGUGAGAAACCAGAUUGGUGGUGGUUGUACAUCAUUGUGACUGUGGCUUCAGUUGCACUAUUAAUAAUUGUUGUAAAAGUCAUCAGAUGGAAGAGAGCUAAAGGGAACAAAGCAGGGAUGAAUGACAAUAUUGUGAGUUUAAAAACUGUUCUCCUACAUUUUGAUUCUAUACCUGACAAAGGAUAACAUAAGGUAAACAGUACUAAUUGUUUUAAAACUAUGUUACUGUAGCAGCAAAAGUCAAGGAAGUGAUUGUGAGGAAAAGCAAAACGGGGCCCGAGUUACGUCUGUUGGAACCAAGACGGCAGCCGCGAUGGUGGAGAUAGUCAUGUACCUACUAACAGUGUGCAGACAUGCCCUUUGCCCUGCAGUUAAAAUGUGUAACAAUGCAAAGAAUUUUAUAUGCUUAUUAUAGGCUUUUAAAAUAUCAAUCUGUAAAUUAACUUGUAACUACAGCUGUCAUGGGGCUGCCCUAUUCAAGCCAGUGGUAGCAUUGGUCUUAGCAUGCUAAGCUAACUUUAGGAUGAGUAUUAGCAUAGGACUUUUAGGUUUAGCAUUACCUUUAGCAUGUGGGCUAGGCUUGUCAUUUCAUUUCAGUUCAUUUAAAUACUAGUCGAAAGAGUAGAAAUCAUGAUUAGAUAAUUAAAACACAUACACAGUUAAUUUCAAGUCAUUUAUUUUAGGUUAUUGGAUCUACCCAAGGUUAUGUUUCAUUCACCUGUUCUCACCAAGGGGGUAAGCCACAGUUCAAACAGUGAAGCCGACCAAAGCCUGCAUGGACGGUUCCAUGUAGGCCCAAAAAUAAUGUCAAAACCCUGUGACAUCCCAUCACAUAACAUGACCUUUUUGCAGAAGUAAUAGAAUUUGAAAUGUUGACUGUGAUAAAAUAGAGUGUCAGUAUUAAUCCACAAGUUACUGAGCAGCCAUUAUGUUAAUUUCUCUAAAGGCUGAUCCUGAAAAUGGUGUUACUUACGCCACUGUCAGCUUCACCGCAAAGACCAACAGUGAAGGCCGGGUUCAGAGUAAAAAUGAUGCUGAUGAAGGCGAUGCAGUGACCUACAUGACUGUGAAAGCUUCCUCUGCUGAUCCCAGCAACUUCUACGCUACAGUCAACUGACCAAACAAAUCAAACUCAAGUCAUCAGAUCUUUGCUUAAAUCUUUGUUUUAUGAUAAUUUUCAAGAUGGAUUAUUGUAAAAAGAUUCUUAUUCACAACGGGGUGAAGUUGGUUAACUAGUGGCACAAUGUAAAACAAAAAAAGUAAUUACCCAACAUUUAUAUUGGUGGUUGCUUGAAAACUAAAUGAGCAUGACAUAUGACAUUUGCUUGAUGAACUUGCUGUGAUUAAUGUGCUAAUCUUAGGUUAUAGUUCAAGGUUAAUAUGUUUAUUUUCCUUUUUUUAUUUAUUAUUUAUCUUGUCUUAAAUUGGUGCCUGUGAUUAUUUCAUAUGCAAAAAUUUAUCAAGGUUGAGCAACUUUACAGAUUCUUGGUGUUUGUCAUUAUUUUCAUAUUUUGCUCUUGUUUGAUAUGCAGUAUUUUGACCAUGUAUGUCUUAGUUCAGUUAGCUUUAAAUAUCCUGGUGUCAAAGUAUAUAAAGGAAACUAAAAGAAGGUGGGAUGUGACAUAUUUUAUUUGAUCUGCAUAAAUGAUGUCAACCUGAGAAGUUGUGUUAAACACAGAAUG